ACGGGGCAGCCGUGGGGAAUAUUGCACAAUGGGCGCAAGCCUGAUGCAGCGAUGCCGCGUGAGGGAAGAAGGUUUUCGGAUUGUAAACCUCUGUCAUCGGGGACGAUAAUGACUGUACCCGAGAAGGAAGCUCCGGCUAACUACGUGCAAGCAGCCGCGGUAAUAAGUAGGGAGCGAGCGUUAUCCGGAAUUACUGGGUGUAAAGGGAGUGUAGGCGGGACUGUAAGUCAGAUGUGAAAUAUGCCGGCUCAACUGGCAGACUGCAUUUGAAACUGCGGUUCUUGAGUGAAGUAGAGGUAAGCGGAAUUCCUAGUGUAGCGGUGAAAUGCGUAGAUAUUAGGAGGAACAUCAGUGGCGAAGGCGGCUUACUGGGCUUUAACUGACGCUGAGGCUCGAAAGCGUGGGGAGCAAACAGGAUUAGAUACCCUGGUA
RNAcentral lists this ribosomal RNA (432 nucleotides) under uncultured Ruminococcus sp. RNAcentral describes it as "partial 16S ribosomal RNA". It matches the Rfam family "Bacterial small subunit ribosomal RNA", at positions 343 to 792 of the family's 1533-position model. The record is from RNAcentral. Lineage: Bacteria; Bacillati; Bacillota; Clostridia; Eubacteriales; Oscillospiraceae.